AACCAGACUCCUACGGGAGGCAGCAGUGGGGAAUAUUGGGCAAUGGGCGCAAGCCUGACCCAGCAACGCCGCGUGAAGGAAGAAGGCUUUUGGGUUGUAAACUUCUUUUCUCGGGGACGAAGAAAGUGACGGUACCUGAGGAAUAAGCCACGGCUAACUACGUGCCAGCAGCCGCGGUAAUACGUAGGUGGCAAGCGUUAUCCGGAUUUAUUGGGUUUAAAGGGUGCGUAGGCGGAAUGCCAAGUCAGCGGUAAAAUCGCGGGGCUCAACCUCGCUCCGCCGUUGAAACUGGCGUUCUUGAGUGGGCGAGAAGUAUGCGGAAUGCGUGGUGUAGCGGUGAAAUGCAUAGAUAUCGCGCAGAACUCCGAUUGCGAAGGCAGCGUACCGGCGCCAGACUGACGCUGAGGCACGAAAGCGUGGGGAUCGAACAGGAUUAGAUACCCUGGUA
RNAcentral lists this ribosomal RNA (448 nucleotides) under uncultured bacterium. Its description in RNAcentral is "bacterial SSU rRNA". It matches the Rfam family "Bacterial small subunit ribosomal RNA", at positions 329 to 792 of the family's 1533-position model. The record is from RNAcentral.